RNAcentral lists this small RNA (28 nucleotides) under Bombyx mori (domestic silkworm). RNAcentral's name for it is "ovarian small RNA-38168". Lineage: Eukaryota; Metazoa; Arthropoda; Insecta; Lepidoptera; Bombycidae. The record is from RNAcentral.
UUGUGUCGUUGAUUGGUAUCCAUACAUC